Molecule: ribosomal RNA, 492 nt
Filed under: uncultured bacterium
Lineage: Bacteria
Description: partial 16S ribosomal RNA
Rfam family: Bacterial small subunit ribosomal RNA
Source: RNAcentral
GAUGAACGCUAGCUACAGGCUUAACACAUGCAAGUCGAGGGGAAACGGCAUUGAGUGCUUGCACUCUUUGGACGUCGACCGGCGCACGGGUGAGUAACGCGUAUCCAACCUUCCCAUUACUGUGGGAUAACCUGCCGAAAGGCAGACUAAUACCGCAUAGUCUUCGAUGACGGCAUCAGAUUUGAAGUAAAGAUUUAUCGGUAAUGGAUGGGGAUGCGUCUGAUUAGCUUGUUGGCGGGGUAACGGCCCACCAAGGCUACGGUCAGUAGGGGUUCUGAGAGGAAGGUCCCCCACAUUGGAACUGAGACACGGUCCAAACUCCUACGGGAGGCAGCAGUGAGGAAUAUUGGUCAAUGGACGGAAGUCUGAACCAGCCAAGUAGCGUGCAGGAUGACGGCCCUAUGGGUUGUAAACUGCUUUUGUAUGGGGAUAAAGUUAGGGACGUGUCCCUAUUUGCAGGUACCAUACGAAUAAGGACCGGCUAAUUCCGUG